RNAcentral lists this ribosomal RNA (329 nucleotides) under uncultured eukaryote. RNAcentral's name for it is "partial 18S ribosomal RNA". It matches the Rfam family "Eukaryotic small subunit ribosomal RNA", at positions 1470 to 1796 of the family's 1831-position model. The record is from RNAcentral.
CCCUUAGAUGUUCUGGGCCGCACGCGCGCUACACUGAUGCAUUCAACGAGUCUAAAACCUGGUCUGAGAGGGCUGGGUAAUCUUUUGAAAGUGCAUCGUGAUUGGGAUAGAUGAUUGCAAUUCUUCAUCUUCAACGAGGAAUGCCUAGUAAACGCAAGUCAUCAGCUUGCAUUGAUUACGUCCCUGCCCUUUGUACACACCGCCCGUCGCUCCUACCGAUUGAACGAUCCGAUGAAAACUGUGGAUUGAGAGUCUGAGUGGGUUCGCCUACCUCAACUUUCGAGAAGCGGUUUAAACCUUAUCGUUUAGAGGAAGGAGAAGUCGUAACA